Molecule: long non-coding RNA, 593 nt
Filed under: Homo sapiens (human)
Lineage: Eukaryota; Metazoa; Chordata; Mammalia; Primates; Hominidae
Description: non-protein coding lnc-TMEM170B-2:5
Source: RNAcentral
CCCUCUGGGAGGCGGCUGAAACCCGGUGAGAAUUCGAGCGUGGCGCGGGUGGGCCAGCAGUGUUUGGGGACCCGGAGCACUCUCCACAGCUGCUGGUCCAGGUGCUAAGUCCCUCACUGCCCAGCACCUGCAGCGCCGACCGGCCGCUCUUGAGUGCGGGGCCUGCAGAGCCCACGCCCACCCGGAACUCGCGCUGGCCCGUGAGCGCCGUGCCGCAGCCCCGGUUCCCGCCCGCGCCUCUCCCUCCACACUUCGCCGCAAGCAGAGGGAGCCGGCUCCGGCCUCAGCUGGCCCAGAGAGGGGCUCCCUCAGUGCAGUGGCGAGCUGAAGGGCUCCUCAAGGGCGGCUGGAGUGGACGCUGAGGCCGAGGAGACGCCAAGAGCAAACGAGGGCUGCUAGUACAUUGUCACCUCUCACUGGUAACUACAGUUGCUGUCAGUUUAACUCUCAUGGUAGGGAGAACCCCCACAAGGAGACUGCACUUCAAAGUCCCUCCUGGAUCCCAUUCAGAUCCAAAACUGAGCACCUGCUCUGUGCCAAGAAAUGCUCUAUGGAAAUGAAUCAGUUCCCACCAUCCAGGAGGUCACAGCCUG